This 224-nucleotide unclassified non-coding RNA is filed under the name Hevea brasiliensis (rubber tree). Lineage: Eukaryota; Viridiplantae; Streptophyta; Magnoliopsida; Malpighiales; Euphorbiaceae. The record is from RNAcentral.
CGUCGGCCACCAAUACAAUAUGAUCAUUCACCUGCAUAUUGUACGCGUCCUCUCCCCACAGCUCCAUGUCUAAGUAAAUCAGCACCGGGAGGACCAGGGAAGCGCUGAUGAACCGUACUUGUUGGUUUGCAUACCCAGUGAAGUUUAAAUGAUGCCUAAUGUAAUGUUCUACUGCUAUUAAAUUAAUAUUAAGGAUCGCCGGUGAGAAUGUGACACAGCCAUUG